GACGAACGCUGGCGGCGUGCUUAACACAUGCAAGUCGAGCGGUAGGGCCCUUUGGGGUACACGAGCGGCGAACGGGUGAGUAACACGUGAGUAAUCUGCCUUUGGCUUGGGAAUAACUUCGGGAAAUCGGGGCUAAUGCCUGAUGUUUACUGUCUGCUGCAUGGUGGGUGUGGAAAGAUUUUUGGCCAGGGAUGAGCUCGCGGUCUAUCAGCUUGUUGGUGGGGUAAU
This 228-nucleotide ribosomal RNA is filed under the name uncultured bacterium. RNAcentral describes it as "partial 16S ribosomal RNA". It matches the Rfam family "Bacterial small subunit ribosomal RNA", at positions 28 to 261 of the family's 1533-position model. The record is from RNAcentral.